Molecule: long non-coding RNA, 341 nt
Organism: Oreochromis aureus
Lineage: Eukaryota; Metazoa; Chordata; Actinopteri; Cichliformes; Cichlidae
Exons: 3
Source: RefSeq, a predicted model, not a curated record
GUGGGACAUCAGUAAGGCCUGUGGAUACACUUCCCUCAAGGAACUGAUCAAUGAGAACUCUGACUACCUGCUUAAUGACAUAUCACUCAACCUUCAGAGACUCAGCCAGCAUCCACAGGCUCCACGGGUGUUGACAGUUAUGUUGACUCACUCUGACUGCAGUCUGCUGCCGCUGGUCGGGGACAUCGUUCAGGAUGUGCUGACGGCUCUGGAUCUCAGCUACGAGCGCACAGCUGCUCUUUUCUGCUCCGUGCUGCACGCGCUCAUGAAGGCACUGGCGAGGUGGUUUCCUUCCACUUGUAGCAGGACCAGUACGUCUGCCAGCUCCAGGCAGAGCUCCA